AUCCUGGCUCAGAAUGAACGCUGGUGGCGUGCUUAACACAUGCAAGUCGAACGAGAAAGGGUUCUUCGGAACCUGAUUAAAGUGGCGCACGGGUGAGUAACGCGUAGAUAAUCUACCUCUGGUGUUUGGGAUAACCCUUCGAAAGGGGGACUAAUACCGGAUAUAUUCGUAUCUGUAGGGAUAUGGAGGAAAGGUGGCCUCUGAUUUAAGCUAUCGCACUGGGAUGAGUCUGCGUACCAUUAGCUAGUUGGUGGGGUAAUGGCCUACCAAGGCGACGAUGGUUAGCGGGUCUGAGAGGAUGAUCCGUCACACUGGCACUGGAACACGGGCCAGACUCCUACGGGAGGCAGCAGGGAGGAAUUUUGCGCAAUGGGGG
RNAcentral lists this ribosomal RNA (376 nucleotides) under Ctenophora environmental sample. RNAcentral's name for it is "partial Bacterial small subunit ribosomal RNA". It matches the Rfam family "Bacterial small subunit ribosomal RNA", at positions 16 to 377 of the family's 1533-position model. The record is from RNAcentral. Lineage: Eukaryota; Metazoa; Ctenophora.